UACGUAGGGGGCAAGCGUUGUCCGGAAUUAUUGGGCGUAAAGCGCGCGCAGGCGGCUGAUUUAGUCGGGUGGUUAAGCCCGGGGCUCAACCCCGGGUCACACCGGAAACGGAUCGGCUUGAGUGCAAAAGAGGAGAGUGGAAUUCCACGUGUAGCGGUGAAAUGCGUAGAGAUGUGGAGGAACACCAGUGGCGAAGGCGACUCUCUGGGUUGCAACUGACGCUGAGGCGCGAAAGCGUGGGGAGCAAACAGG
This 252-nucleotide ribosomal RNA is filed under the name uncultured bacterium. Its description in RNAcentral is "partial 16S ribosomal RNA". It matches the Rfam family "Bacterial small subunit ribosomal RNA", at positions 524 to 776 of the family's 1533-position model. The record is from RNAcentral.